CCUUCUGUUCUGGUAGACACCUUUUUACCUGUGGAAUUGAAAAGUUCACUUUUUUUCAUUUAAACUAUUAAAAAAAAGUAUUUAUAGAGACAAAAUAUGAUUGUAACAUUCAUAUCAUAUGUAAAAGUAUAAGAAUAAAGGUGAACACUUGAGGGUGGGGCAUUUCAGUAUUUUUUUUGGUAGGGAAGCCGUCGAGACAUCAUUUACCUCAUCAUUUUCAUAUAUUUUGUGUAUCAAAAAUAUAUAUAUAUAUAUAUUCAUGAACGCUUUAAUAUCUAACAGAUAAAUGAUAUACAUUGGCAUGCCCAUUCUAAGUUAAAGGUCGC
Molecule: long non-coding RNA, 326 nt
Filed under: Mytilus galloprovincialis (Mediterranean mussel)
Lineage: Eukaryota; Metazoa; Mollusca; Bivalvia; Mytilida; Mytilidae
Source: RNAcentral